This 682-nucleotide long non-coding RNA is filed under the name Lathyrus oleraceus (garden pea). Its description in RNAcentral is "Pisum sativum (pea) long non-coding RNA (PSAT_LNC030233)". Lineage: Eukaryota; Viridiplantae; Streptophyta; Magnoliopsida; Fabales; Fabaceae. The record is from RNAcentral.
AUAAGGUAGUUUGAUUAUAUUUAGUAUAGUAGGAAGUAGUAUAUGAUUUGUAGUGAUAUAGAGAAAUCAUGAGAUUUUUUAAUUUAACUCUACCUACUAACAAAAAUAUAAUAACUAACAACUAAUAAUUCUAAUUUAUAUUUUUUUCAAAAAAAACUAUUUAUGUCUUCCAUUUCCAAAUCUCUUUUCUUGAAAGGUUUGAAUAUUUCGAAAGACUUUGAGGAUGAAAAAAAAACAUUUUCUUUCUAGUUAACUUGGAUCUCUGAAUUCAUCUACCCACAUCUUUGAAUUCAUGCACACAAUAAAAUAAAAUAAAAAUCAACACUUUACAUUGAAAUCGUCAAAACUAAUAAUUAAAAAAAAAAAAAAGGAAAAUGCAUUAACAAUAUUUGUUUAUUUGCUUCGAUUUGAUCAUUUCUCCCUAUUCUCCUUGGAUCUUUACCCUGUUCUUCAAUUCAUUUCUUUCCAAAAUUAAAUCUUUCUGAAAAAAAAAAAUCUGGUAAUUUUUUUCUCUGUUUCUUGAAGAGCUUCAAAUUCUGUGGAUGCAAUUUGGAGGUAUAAAGAUCUUAUUUUGAGCCUCACCCUCAAUUACUCGCGUCAAAUUCAAUUCUGGGUCGGUUUCAGUUUCUUCAAAAAACCGUAAAACAGUGAGAUUCACUAACUUGCAGUGUUCCUGUCUAAG